RNAcentral lists this transfer RNA (73 nucleotides) under Entomophthora muscae. RNAcentral describes it as "tRNA-Phe". It matches the Rfam family "tRNA". From Rfam's summary of the family: Transfer RNA (tRNA) molecules are approximately 80 nucleotides in length. Lineage: Eukaryota; Fungi; Entomophthoromycota; Entomophthoromycetes; Entomophthorales; Entomophthoraceae. The record is from RNAcentral.
GCGGCUAUAGCUCAGUUGGGAGAGCGUCAGACUGAAGAUCUGAAGGUCCCGCGUUCGAUCCGCGGUGGGCGCA